Molecule: long non-coding RNA, 674 nt
Organism: Oncorhynchus keta (chum salmon)
Lineage: Eukaryota; Metazoa; Chordata; Actinopteri; Salmoniformes; Salmonidae
Exons: 3
Source: RefSeq, a predicted model, not a curated record
CAGCAGUCUGAUGGCUUGGGGGUAGAAGCUGUUCAGCAGUCUGAUGGCUUGGGGGUAGAAGCUGUUCAGCAGUCUGAUGGCUUGGGGGUAGAAGCUGUUCAGCAGUCUGAUGGCUUGGAGGUAGAAGCUGUUCAGCAGUCUGAUGGCUUGGGGGUAGAAGCUGUUCAGCAGUCUGAUGGCUUGGGGGUAGAAGCUGUUCAGCAGUCUGAUGGCUUGGGGGUAGAAGCUGUUCAGCAGUCUGAUGGCUUGGGGGUAGAAGCUGUUCAGCAGUCUGAUGGCUUGGGGGUAGAAGCUGUUCAGCAGUCUGAUGGCUUGGAGGUAGAAGCUGUUCAGCAGUCUGAUGGCUUGGGGGUAGAAGCUGUUCAGCAGUCUGAUGGCUUGGGGGUAGAAGCUGUUCAGCAGUCUUAUGGCUUGGGGGUAGAAGCUGUUCAGCAGUCUGAUGGCUUGGGGUUAGAAGCUGUUCAGCAGUCUGAUGGCUUGGGGUUAGAAGCUGUUCAGCAGUCUGAUGGCUUGGGGUUAGAAGCUGUUCAGCAGUCUGAUGGCUUGGGGUUAGAAGCUGUUCAGCAGUCUUAUGGCUUGGGGGUAGAAGCUGUUCAGCAGUCUUAUGGCUUGGGGUUAGAAGCUGUUCAGCAGUCUUAUGGCUUGGGGGUAGAAGCUGUUCAGCAGUCUUAUGG